UUUUAUGAAAUGCUAUUGCAUACUUAAUAGACUACAGUAUAAUGUAAACCAAAAAAUUGAUGCGACUCUCUUUAUUGCAAUACUCGCUUUAUUAUGGUGGUCUGGAACGGAACCUGCAGUUAUCUCCAAGGCAUGCCUGUAAUUCAGUCCUUCAUUUUACAUAUGAGGGGAAUAUAUGUCACUUAAUAUAACCCCAUUUAGUUUACAUGUUAGGAAACUCUACAAUAAUAAUCUGUAGUAAAGUAUGUUCUGUGGGAAAUACAGGAUUAAGCAAAAUUAAACCACUUUCUUCUCAGGGCAUCUUGGACUCCAUUGUAUAGUUAAUUCUUACUAAGUGACUUAUGUGGAUUUCUCCACUGUUUACCUCACGUAACAUGAAGAUAUGGGAGUAGAAGCUAUUGAAAUGGUAUUAUUGUCUAUUCUGUUUACAGGACUGGAAGCAACCCCAAAAUUAGACGCAACAAAAUCUGGGGAGGACAGAAUGGUGGAAUUCUAGUUUAUAAUUCUGGUCUAGGCUGUAUAGAAGACAAUGAAAUAUUUGACAAUGCAAUGGCUGGAGUCUGGAUUAAGACAGAUAGUAAUCCUACACUAAGAAGAAAUAAAAUCCAUGAUGGAAGAGAUGGUGGCAUCUGUAUAUUUAAUGGGGGUCGAGGUCUCCUUGAAGAAAAUGAUAUUUUCAGGAAUGCUCAAGCAGGUGUUCUCAUCAGCACUAAUAGUCAUCCAAUCUUAAGGAAAAACAGAAUAUUUGAUGGAUUUGCCGCAGGUAUUGAAAUUACAAAUCACGCAACUGCAACACUAGAAGGCAAUCAGAUUUUUAACAACCGGUUUGGAGGCUUAUUUUUAGCAUCUGGUGUUAAUGUGACAAUGAAAGAUAACAAAAUAAUGAACAAUCAAGAUGCCAUAGAAAA
RNAcentral lists this long non-coding RNA (908 nucleotides) under Homo sapiens (human). Its description in RNAcentral is "non-protein coding lnc-KCNK12-5:1". Lineage: Eukaryota; Metazoa; Chordata; Mammalia; Primates; Hominidae. The record is from RNAcentral.